Manis pentadactyla (Chinese pangolin) is the source of this 1299-nucleotide long non-coding RNA. RefSeq lists it as uncharacterized. The transcript has 4 exons. NCBI's taxonomy places the organism in Eukaryota, Metazoa, Chordata, Mammalia, Pholidota, Manidae. The record is from RefSeq and is a predicted model, not a curated record.
CAGCCACCAUUAGAAUGGAGUGAGAAGUCCCUUCAGUGUUUUUCAAACUUAAUAAAUCAGAAAAAUCACCUGGGGUGAUUAUUUAAAAGAUGCCUACCCCUCUCCUCUGGAGGUCCUUUGGUCGGUUCGGGGUGGAGCUCAGGAAUCUGUAGUUUGAAAUAGUUAUCCAGGUGAUUCUUUAUAAUUUUGUAUAUUUGGGGGAACGCCCUAUGGCAAAAUUUCAAAACCAAACAAUUCUCUGCUGCAGUGUGGAUGAAAUGAGAGUUCCUGUGGCCAGGAUUCUCACCCGGCCCUGAUUGACUAGCUCACUCCACACCUGUGGGCAAUACAUGGCUAUUGACUCUAUAAAAAAGAGCUCUGCCCAGUGCUCUGCGCGACAUGGUGGCAGGGCUGCAAGGCUGCAGGAGAGCAGAGCAGAGCCUGGAGUGUUGUUAGCGCCAAGGACAGAGGCCUAGAGGAUGGCUGUGCAGGACGACUGUGCAGAGAGGUCCAGAGGACAGCUGUGCGGACAGAGGGAGGCAGAAGCAGAGACUGGCUUGCUGCAUACAGACUCUCUCUGAGUGAAUGGGAUUCUAGUGACUGACUUGCCACUGUGAGAAUAAAGUAGAGGAGUAUGAUGAAAGAGGCUUAGUGACUUGCUGGAGGGGCUGAAGGACAGAGAAGCAAAUGGCGAAGUAUGCUGUGUCAUUGGAAGAGAAAUUCAUAGCUAACCACUACUAGUACUGAGUUCUAAGAGGUGAAGAAGCAGGUGCUUUUUAAAGCAGCCUUCAAGAGGGAAAGAUGAAAUAAAGGAUUCCUGCAAUAGAAGUUAGACCCAGAUGACUUCUCUGGCCCUUGGCAAUGAUACGAUCCCGUACUUUCUUUGAGUGUGUGUUUGAAUGUGUAAAUGCUGUUCAUUAAAUGUUUUAAAAGUUUUAUUCAUUUGUAAUCACUUGACUUUAUAGUUAAGGUAGAAUUUUUAAAGAGGGUAAAAAGCCAGAAAUGCAUAAUAAAUGAAUUUAAAAAAUGAAAACCAACACAGCAAUAUAACUGCAUAGGGAUUAAAGGAACCACAUAAAUUGCAAGCAAAUACUAUUUGGUAUUUUUUUGUGCUUACCUUGUGCUUUUACAUAUUUUAUCUUUAUCCUUACAGUUUUAGCACUCACUCCAAGUCCAGUGUCUCAGUCAGCCUCUCAGUCCUGAGCCAUCCUAGAUGGCUAGUCACUCUAUUCCAAGUGUUUGAUUUGAGGAAAUGUGGGGGAGGGCAUACCUGGCGCAGGUGGGUGGUAGCUCCAUCUCAUGGUGAUCAAGGAGUUUGGC